GACGAACGCUGGCGGCGUGCUUAACACAUGCAAGUCGAACGGAAAGGCCUGCUUUCCCUUGUGGAUUGCGGGUACUCGAGUGGCGAACGGGUGAGUAACACGUGAGUGAUCUGCCCCCAACUUGGGUAUAAGCCUGGGAAACUGGGUCUAAUUCCCGAUAGGACUGCAGGGUGGUGCCUGUGGUGGAAAACGAUUUUCUAGUGGUUGGGGAUGAGCUCGCGGCCUAUCAGCUUGUUGGUGGGGUAAUGGCCUACCAAGGCGGCGACGGGUAGCCGGCCUGGGAGGGUGGACGGCCACAUUGGGACUGAGAUACGGCCCAGACUCCUACGGGAGGCAGCAGUGGGGAAUAUUGCCCAAUGGGCGGAAGCCUGAUGCAGCGACGCCGCGUGGGGGAUGACGGCCUUCGGGUUGUAAACUCCUUUCGACCGCGAGGAAGCCACCUGGUUGGAAGGGUGGUGACGGUAGUGGUAGAAGAAGCACCGGCUAACUACGUG
RNAcentral lists this ribosomal RNA (494 nucleotides) under uncultured bacterium. Its description in RNAcentral is "partial 16S ribosomal RNA". It matches the Rfam family "Bacterial small subunit ribosomal RNA", at positions 28 to 507 of the family's 1533-position model. The record is from RNAcentral.